UACGAAGGGGGCUAGCGUUGCUCGGAAUGACUGGGCGUAAAGGGCGCGUAGGCGGCUUGCACCGUCAGAUGUGAAAUUCCUGGGCUUAACCUGGGGGCUGCAUUUGAUACGUGUGGGCUUGAGUGCGGAAGAGGGUCGUGGAAUUCCCAGUGUAGAGGUGAAAUUCGUAGAUAUCGGGAGGAACACCAGUGGCGAAGGCGGCUAUCUGGGCUGGAACUGACGCUGAGGCGCGAAGGCUAGGGGAGCAAACAGG
This 253-nucleotide ribosomal RNA is filed under the name uncultured bacterium. Its description in RNAcentral is "partial 16S ribosomal RNA". It matches the Rfam family "Bacterial small subunit ribosomal RNA", at positions 524 to 776 of the family's 1533-position model. The record is from RNAcentral.